AUCGAUGAAGAACGCAGCGAAAUGCGAUACUUGGUGUGAAUUGCAGAAUCCCGUGAACCAUCGAGUCUUUGAACGCAAGUUGCGCCCGAAGCCUUGGCUGAGGGCACGUCUGCCUGGGUGUCACGCAUCGCGUUGCCUCCAAACCCUUCACCCUUCGGACGAUGCGGUGAUGGGCUGGAUGCGGAAGCUGGCCUCCCGUGGCCACGAGCCACGGAUGGCCCAAACACAUGCUCGGGAAGCGAAGCGCCACGGCAUUCGGUGGUUGAUCCAAGCCCCAUAAGCAGUGCCGGCGGUNGCCGCAUCUGUCCCUAGCCCACGACCCUAAACGUCAACCAACGCGACCUCAGGUCAGGCGGGGCUACCCGCUGAGUUUAAGCAUAUCAAUAAGCGGAGG
This 394-nucleotide ribosomal RNA is filed under the name Terminalia prunioides. Its description in RNAcentral is "eukaryotic LSU rRNA". The stretch from base 1 to 123 matches the Rfam family "5.8S ribosomal RNA", at positions 32 to 154 of the family's 154-position model. The record is from RNAcentral. Lineage: Eukaryota; Viridiplantae; Streptophyta; Magnoliopsida; Myrtales; Combretaceae.